AGUGAACGCUGGCGGUAGGCCUAACACAUGCAAGUCGAACGGCAGCACAGUAGGAGCUUGCUCUUACGGGUGGCGAGUGGCGGACGGGUGAGGAAUACAUCGGAAUCUACUUUUUCGUGGGGGAUAACGUAGGGAAACUUACGCUAAUACCGCAUACGACCUACGGGUGAAAGCAGGGGAUCUUCGGACCUUGCGCGAUUGAAUGAGCCGAUGUCGGAUUAGCUAGUUGGCGGGGUAAAGGCCCACCAAGGCGACGAUCCGUAGCUGGUCUGAGAGGAUGAUCAGCCACACUGGAGCUGAGACACGGUCCAGACUCCUACGGGAGGCAGCAGUGGGAAAUAUUGGACAAUGGGCGCAAGCCUGAUCCAGCCAUACCGCGUGGGUGAAGAAGGCCUUCGGGUUGUAAAGCACUUUUGUUGGGAAAGAAAAGCAGCAGGUUAAUACCCCGCUGUUCUGACGGUACCCAAAGAAUAAGCACCGGCUAACUUCGU
Molecule: ribosomal RNA, 491 nt
Filed under: uncultured bacterium
Lineage: Bacteria
Description: partial 16S ribosomal RNA
Rfam family: Bacterial small subunit ribosomal RNA
Source: RNAcentral